This 613-nucleotide long non-coding RNA is filed under the name Heterocephalus glaber (naked mole-rat). RNAcentral's name for it is "lncRNA (ENSHGLG00100048601.1)". Lineage: Eukaryota; Metazoa; Chordata; Mammalia; Rodentia; Bathyergidae. The record is from RNAcentral.
CGCCAGUGGGCGGAGCAUAAUGUGCAGUUCUGACUUUUGAGACCCUCUGAAAAUAGGCAUCUGUCCAGAAUUCAGCGGUGAAGCCAUGAGGACUGGGGCUUUUCUUGGUUGGCACAAUCUCUGCUGUUAUUGGAGUCACUUUUCUAGAUAAACCAGCCUCACUUGAACUGUCUGAAGAAAAAUACUACCACAAAGAAGAAAGCUACUCCUGUGAACACCUGGAAGACCUGAGGUUCCUCUUCAAAAAAACUCUAGUAAUGCUCUAGGAGUUUCUCUUGGUUAUAUGCUAAUGUACAGAUUGCUAAAUGGUGAUUACUGGCCACUGAGCAAUAACCUGAAUUGAACCAUCUACUUCUCUUGUAAGCAAUAUGGUUCCUCCCACUGUAUGUAUAGACACUGAUUUUAGUUACGGCUGGUUUUUAUUAAGUGAUGUCAAUUAGGCUGACAUGAUUAUCACUUAGUAAGCCCCUAUGGUCACAUUCAUUGGAGAUAAGCUUCUAACAUGUUACUUAGAAUAUUGUUCUAGAAAUUCUGUAAGUAAUUACAUUUUCAAAAUGCUGCUGGCUAAAAAACCUCUCCCCUACUCCCCCCCCAUACUGGAGAUUGAGUCCAG